Molecule: ribosomal RNA, 468 nt
Filed under: uncultured bacterium
Lineage: Bacteria
Description: partial 16S ribosomal RNA
Rfam family: Bacterial small subunit ribosomal RNA
Source: RNAcentral
GACGAACGCUGGCGGCGUGCUUAACACAUGCAAGUCGAACGGACAGGCCCUGCUUUUGUGGGGUGCUCGAGUGGCGAACGGGUGAGUAACACGUGAGUAACCUGCCCUUGACUUUGGGAUAACUUCAGGAAACUGGGGCUAAUACCGGAUAGGAGCUCCUGCUGCAUGGUGGGGGUUGGAAAGUUUCGGCGGUUGGGGAUGGACUCGCGGCUUAUCAGCUUGUUGGUGGGGUAGUGGCUUACCAAGGCUUUGACGGGUAGCCGGCCUGGGAGGGUGACCGGCCACAUUGGGACUGAGAUACGGCCCAGACUCCUACGGGAGGCAGCAGUGGGGAAUAUUGCACAAUGGGCGGAAGCCUGAUGCAGCAACGCCGCGUGCGGGAUGACGGCCUUCGGGUUGUAAACCGCUUUCGCCUGUGACGAAGCGUGAGUGACGGUAAUGGGUAAAGAAGCACCGGCUAACUACGUG